RNAcentral lists this ribosomal RNA (202 nucleotides) under uncultured bacterium. Its description in RNAcentral is "partial 16S ribosomal RNA". The record is from RNAcentral.
GACGAACGCUGGCGGCGUGCUUAACACAUGCAAGUCGAACGAUGAAGCCCUUUCGGGGUGGGAGUAGUUGGCGAACGGGUAGGAGUAACAACGUGGGUAACCGUACGCCCUCGUACCCUCGGGAGUAAGACCUUCGGUAAACGGAAGGGUCGUAAUUAACCGGACGUAUGACCUCGCUCUCGCAUGGGGGUGGGGUGGGAAA